AGUAUGAGAACUCCUUGUUGAUCGUGUUCAGUGGACUUAUUCUCUAUUGAGCACCUACAUGCUUGUCUUGGUGUGAGUCACACCAAUGACUCGAGACCGGUCACUCUCCCUAAGAGAAGAAAUAACACGUACUGAUCUUAACGGACUGUCAAUGCCCAAUUGGCAAUCCUAUGAUCAAGAACGUUUAGGAUAUGUAUACGGAAGAGAAUGGCCUCAUGAAUCUAACUUCUUUAGAUCGCAUUCUCCCAAUUACAUAUUCCUUGGACUUAUCAUUUAAGCAUAUAACAUUUAUAUGAGAUGGCUUCAAAUAAUAAUCUUUGCCCUUUAAAUUAAACUAUAUUAGUUUAACAUGUGAAAUGUCCGUAAAGUAUCAUCAUAUGAUUGGUUUUAGGGCACAUUUCCAACAAUCUCCCACUUGCACUAUAGCCAAUUAGCUUGGUCAUCAAUGAUGAUACCUCUUCUUAGUGAUUUCAAAAAUGGCUGAGUAGUAGACCUAGACAAUGGAUAUCUGUAUGUUAUCCGUAGAAGCAACCUUGAGAAUAAUGGCGUCACCAUUAUACAUGAUUCUUAAUCAUGUGGUUUAGUCUCUCAUUUGAGUUCGGAUCUUGAUGAGACCUUGAUUCCCUGGCUUGAGCUAUCGCCCCAUUAGUGUCAUCGUGUAAGUACACUGGAGACACUUUCUGGUUCGGACCGAAUAGAGAGUUCAUAAAUGAACUUUCCCAUCCAAACAACAUUGUUGUAAGCUUCUAUAUUGCAAUAUAUUUUGCAUUCACAAUGGAACACACUAAAGUCAUUACUUUUAAUGUUUCCAUCCAAAUAUCUCUUUAGUCAUAAUAAAAGGAUAUCUGAUUAUCUCUUCAUUCAUAAUGAAGAAACAUCCAAUGAUGGAUUAGAUUCAUAAUCUAAUACAUUUAUGCUUCCAUUACGUUACUCUAAUUCUUCCUCAUUCUUUGAGGAAUAUAUCCUUUAGUAUUUCUUAAAUACUUAAGGACUCACUUGACAGUUGCCAUGGUUCUGAUCCUGGGCUUGCAUUGAUAUCGUCUUGUACUGAUCUUAGUACAACUCAUAUCAAUGUUUUUCAUACAAUAUGAAAUACGUAAAUCACCUUUCUGUGUAUGCAUAAUGGAUUCUACUUAUGCAUUAUGUUUCAUUAGGAGUCAAAAGGGUACGUUCCUUUUGAGAAUAGCAACUUCCUAGUCUCACUAGAGUUGUCCUUCUGAUUGAAGUUUAUAAUCAUAUGAGAAACUUCCUAGCAUCUUUUGUCUGUCAUUAGGGCUUAAUAUAAUCCAAUUAUAUCCUGAAAUCUAUCAUUAUAGAUUUCCAUCCCAUGUUUAUAGACUAUGUCUCCCAUAUACAUUCUAUCGUUAUAGAAUGUUUAAAGUCAUAACUUUAACGAAGAAUUAUUCUUUUCAUUUCCAAAAUUAAUAUAUCAUAUAUGUACAUAUAUAUAUAUAUAUAUAUAUAUAUAUAUAUAUAUAUAUUCAAAUUUAGGAACAUGAUUAACUCCCACUUAUCUUUUGUAAACCUAGUAAACAAAAGAUUCAUUUACAUUUUUAUGAGAAAUCAAACGAUUUGAUCUUUCUCUCAUAAGAUGCUUAUAGCUCCCACUAGCUUGCUAAGAUUCAUGAUGAAUGAAUCUCUACAACUUACAUGUCUUGUGAUUCAUAGUUUCAGACAUAUAUUAUCAAGACUAUCUUAAUAAUGGUUUCGGAAACCCAUAUUACGUCCAAACAUUGAAUCACCAUUUAGUUGUAGCUAGCAAUCUUUGAAUCAAUUGAAACCAAGACUAUGUCAAAGAUGGUUUCUUCCAAGUCAACCAUUCUCUUUGAUUGUAGUCACCUUAAGCUACCAAUUAGCUAUGAAGGUUUCAUUAUUUCGGGUCAAAUGGUACUUUACCAUUUCCUUGAGUAUAUGUCGUAUAUACAUUCAAUGUAGUCAUAAGGAUUUUCAUUCUUAUUUCUUUCGAAUUAAGAGGUGUAACUCUAUGAAAUAGUCAUAAAGUUCAAACCAUUCAACUGAGACAGUUUAUAAAUCCUUCUCGACUACCUUGGAGCUUGUGGUGUAGGAACUAGGUUGUUAUAUUUGUUGAUUAUCAUCUUGUCUCUGAAAGAACCCAUUCUUUGAGUUCUAUCUCUCAUUCAUUUGCGCUUAGGCAAAUCAUAUUGUAGGAUUACAAUGAACUACCCAACAAAACAACAUUUGUUAGUU
RNAcentral lists this long non-coding RNA (2208 nucleotides) under Malus domestica (apple). Its description in RNAcentral is "long non-coding RNA (MDOM_LNC013086)". Lineage: Eukaryota; Viridiplantae; Streptophyta; Magnoliopsida; Rosales; Rosaceae. The record is from RNAcentral.